Long non-coding RNA from Clupea harengus (Atlantic herring), 1435 nucleotides. Lineage: Eukaryota; Metazoa; Chordata; Actinopteri; Clupeiformes; Clupeidae. The record is from Ensembl.
GCCUUGUGCUGGGAGUGAGCCCGAUUGCAAUUGUUGUUUGUCUAAUAAAUAUACUUAUAUGCAGCUCCGGAGUCCUGAGGUAACUAGGGUGAAUUUUCACCUAUCAUAUUUGGGGGCUCGUGACCGGGAUUCCAACAACCUCAACGGCUCUCCACGCUGGGCUAAUCAUCAGGACCUGAAUCAUACGGAGGAGUAUGAGACUCUGUUUUUCUAAAGACCUCCAACUUGAAUUGGAAGGAGGCCAGGGCCUGCCAGCGAGGAGAGCCGAGAGUGAAGGAAUUGAAUUAGACUAUAGGGGUUGGACUCCGAGCUGUUUGUGAGUAUAUUGUUUGUUUGUUGUGUGUGCACGCUAGUAUAGUUUUUUGGGGGGUUGAGACUAACUUUUGUUAAUUUUAACUUGCACUAUUUUUAUUAUUUCUCUGUAAAACUGUUCUAAGGGUACCAUGGCACUGUGUGGCUUCAAUAUAUCACAUGUUAUUCUCACAGAUAUUUCCCUAACGAAUGUUCUAGUCCCCUGGGCGCAGUCACCUUCCUUAAGCCUGUAAAAGAGAGCUAGUGUCUCUCCCGAAGCCCUGAAGCGCGUCCGGUGGAAGAAGACGAGAAGGCCUCUGAAGGAAGGGUAUAGAAGGAAGGGUGGCCUCUGGGCGCAGAAACAUAGCUAGGGAAAAUAUUUAACAGGGAACCUGUGAGGCUGAAACCAAGGUUGGGUCGGGAGAUUGGGUCCUAAUCAACAGCCUCAAAAGAAAACACUGCCACUUGCCCAAGUGGGACAGACCAUACAAAGUGCUACUGUCAACAUCUACCACAGUCAAAAUAGCGGAGAGAGCCACCUGGAUACAUCUAACACCAGAGUUCAAGGCAGGAAUCGCGCACCACAAUGCUCACUGCAGUGGUGGAUGCUGCAUAGAGUGGAUGAUGGAGUCGAUGCAAGGCGCCAGUAUGGUGCCGAGUCACGAGAGAUAGAUAUGGAGGAAGAUGAUAGUGCGGACUACCAACAAGCUGCGGAUCACCAACAAGCUGAAGCACCGAACUUUCCGCCAGUUGAAAUGAAAGAAGAUGAAGAAAACCUGUGGCCACAUCUCAGCAAGCAGUUUGCCUUCCAACGUAAAAGAGGCAACAGCUAUAUGCUGUGUAAACUGUGCCUAAUCCGUCAGUCAGAACUUUCUGCUUAUACAAAUUCAUCUUCAAAUCUGCGCAAGCAUGUGUUGGUCUAGUCUAUGUCAGACAACACCUUGACCGGAUGUUGGAGGCUGGAGCAAGUUGGACAACAUUCAUCAGAUGAAGAUGAUUUAUUUUCCUCAAUGAAGUCCAGAAGGUCAGAAGGUACAGGGGAGUUAGAAGGGUACCUAGCCUGUGUCUCAGUCAAUAUGGAUCUGCUGAACGCCUUUCAGAAUAUCAAAAAACUGUCCCUGAAACUCAAUACUGGCCUACCUGC